Molecule: ribosomal RNA, 73 nt
Filed under: Acholeplasmataceae bacterium
Lineage: Bacteria; Bacillati; Mycoplasmatota; Mollicutes; Acholeplasmatales; Acholeplasmataceae
Description: partial 23S ribosomal RNA
Rfam family: Bacterial large subunit ribosomal RNA
Source: RNAcentral
UUGAUAGGACAAAGGUGUAAGUGUGGUAACACAUUUAGCUGAUUGUUACUAAUAGGUCGAGGGCUUGACCUAA